CCACUUUAGCAGCACAUAUACCAAAAUUGGAAUGACACAGAACAUGGGCCCGGAACAAGGAUGACAUGCAAAUUUGUGAAGUGUUCCAUAUUUUU
Gorilla gorilla gorilla (western lowland gorilla) is the source of this 95-nucleotide small nuclear RNA. Lineage: Eukaryota; Metazoa; Chordata; Mammalia; Primates; Hominidae. The record is from Ensembl.